AUGGUGGCUUCAGUGGCCUGCUCCUUCUUCUUCGACGACGAGCUGCUCGGCGAGCCUGGCAUGCCGGCGAUGGACGCGUGCGCGCUCUGCGCCAAGCCGCUGGCGCGCGACAGCGACGUCUUCAUGUACAGAGGAGACACGCCCUACUGCAGCGAGGAGUGCCGGCGCGAGCAGAUGCACCUCGACGUCGUCUGCGCCAAGCAGGACGCGCGGAGACAGCAGCGGUUCUCGGCGGAGACGGAGUCCCACCGUGGGCAGCGGCAGUCCAGCAAGGUGUCGAUCGCAAGCUAA
Molecule: ribosomal RNA, 291 nt
Filed under: Triticum aestivum (bread wheat)
Lineage: Eukaryota; Viridiplantae; Streptophyta; Magnoliopsida; Poales; Poaceae
Description: partial small subunit ribosomal RNA
Source: RNAcentral